RNAcentral lists this transfer RNA (72 nucleotides) under Ornithorhynchus anatinus (platypus). It matches the Rfam family "tRNA". Rfam says of the family: Transfer RNA (tRNA) molecules are approximately 80 nucleotides in length. Their secondary structure includes four short double-helical elements and three loops (D, anti-codon, and T loops). Lineage: Eukaryota; Metazoa; Chordata; Mammalia; Monotremata; Ornithorhynchidae. The record is from Rfam by way of RNAcentral.
AGCAAUGUGGCUCAGUGGGAAGAGCACUGGCUUGGAAGUCAUAGGUCUUGGGUUUGAAUCCCUGCUCUGCCA